This 466-nucleotide ribosomal RNA is filed under the name uncultured Klebsiella sp. Its description in RNAcentral is "bacterial SSU rRNA". It matches the Rfam family "Bacterial small subunit ribosomal RNA", at positions 338 to 795 of the family's 1533-position model. The record is from RNAcentral. Lineage: Bacteria; Pseudomonadati; Pseudomonadota; Gammaproteobacteria; Enterobacterales; Enterobacteriaceae.
CCUACGGGGGGCUGCAGUGGGGGAUAUUGCACAAUGGGCGCAAGCCUGAUGCAGGCAUGCCGCGUGUGUGAAGAAGGCCUUCGGGUUGUAAAGCACUUUCAGCGGGGAGGAAGGCGGUGAGGUUAAUAACCUCAUCGAUUGACGUUACCCGCAGAAGAAGCACCGGCUAACUCCGGUGCCAGCAGCCGCGGUAAUACGGAGGGUGCAAGCGUUAAUCGGAAUUACUGGGCGUAAAGCGCACGCAGGCGGUCUGUCAAGUCGGAUGUGAAAUCCCCGGGCUCAACCUGGGAACUGCAUUCGAAACUGGCAGGCUAGAGUCUUGUAGAGGGGGGUAGAAUUCCAGGUGUAGCGGUGAAAUGCGUAGAGAUCUGGAGGAAUACCGGUGGCGAAGGCGGCCCCCUGGACAAAGACUGACGCUCAGGUGCGAAAGCGUGGGGAGCAAACAGGAUUAGAUACCCGAGUAGUC